Molecule: RNA transcript, 3390 nt
Organism: Panicum virgatum (switchgrass)
Lineage: Eukaryota; Viridiplantae; Streptophyta; Magnoliopsida; Poales; Poaceae
Exons: 4
Source: RefSeq, a predicted model, not a curated record
UCUCCCGUCCCCAGGUCGCCCCGCCGCCACCGUUCGCCGCGGGCUAUAUCCUCCCCUCCCCCGCCUCCAGCCCCACCUCCGCAGCUAGCCUGAUCCAGCGCCGCCGCCGAUCCCCAACAUCUUUGCUUUAGCAGCCCAGAUGUUCCUCACCCAGAAGUGCAGCUCGCUCCUCCCGCCCAACCACCACCACUCGGACGCCGCGCCGCCCAAGGCCAGCAGCCAGCGGAAGCAGCAGCUGCUGCUGACGGCCAAGGCGGCCUGCUUCGACGCAGCGCUGGCCGCGCGCCUCCGGGGCCUGCUGCCGGGUCCGGCGCCCUCUUCCCCGCUCGCGCAGCUCGCCGACCUCCUCGCGCUCACGCUCGCGGAGGCGGCGCCCCCGCUCGCCGGCGAGGGGGACGCGGCCGCAACCACCAGUCUCCCGGGAUGAAGAAAGCCAGAAGGGCAAAACCGUCCAUUCAUGUGCCUGGGAGAGGGAAAAGAUUAAAGAAAAUAAAAAAAUUAAAAAAGGUGAUAAUCCCAUGUUUUAAAACACUUCGCAGCCGGAGUCCCUCGUUUUGAAAGUCAUGCGAACUUAAUCCCUAAAUACGUGAGGCCUGGGAAGUGAGUCCUAAAUAUCAAAAUUUCUCGUCGUUCCUUCUAAUUCCAAACGAAAAAUUCAGUAGGGGAUGGCGCCCCGCGGGAUUGGAUUUGGAAUUCGCCUCCCAAGUCCUUACUGAAUCAAACUCUUGUUGGGUUCCCAAAUCUCAGUGCAAAUUAGUAAGAGGCCGGAGGCUGGAGGGGAUUCCAGGCAGGCAGCAGAGAGAAGUAGAUUGAUUCCACUUCCACAGGAGGGAGGGAAGGAGAGAUAAUAUACUACUGCGUUUGCCGCCUUCGUCUCGUUUCGUCUAUGGAGCGGCAGCCGGGCCGCCGGCGUCGGCGAGCUCAAGCCACCAGUGGAUUAAUUGCUUCACGGACUAAAAAGAGGGCCCCGCCCUGCCAGCAAGAUGAUGAUUCUCAUGGUGGUGGUGAGAUACAAACGCCAAACCUUCCGGAGGUAUGUCAUGAAAAUUUGCAGCCUUAGUGCAAGUAAAAUGUGUCACGAGUCACGACGACUCCUAAAGGCCUUUUCUCCAACCAUGCAUAAUUAACUUUCAAGAACAGAUAGUGUUUGCUCCUAAGUAUAAUAAUGUUGGAACCAUCUUCUGGCCUCCAAAUGAGCCUCAUAAGUUGCCAUCGAGGACAAGCACUUUCCGUUAUUCUUUAUACAAUCUAUAAGUUCCUUGUAAUUUACAAUAGAAGAUGAUUGCUUUCAAGGUUAGUCACUCAUGUCUUUGUGGUACCAUUAAGUUCCAUUUUCUUGAAGUUUUAACAACUGCGCCAUGUUAUCUUCACUAGACCGUUACAGGCAAUAACAUUGUAACUUUAACCUGCAUAGCCUUGUAUGAUGGCAUUCUUUUAUCUGACCUGUUCAAUUGACUAUCAACUUCAGUUAAUAAGGUUUAUGUCACGUUUCUUACACUGUAGCAGUCAAAGUUGAUAUGGACCUCCUGUUUAAAUAUGAUUCACUAUUGGUAUCCUGUCCAGAAGUGCUUGUUCUUUCAGAUAGCACACUAUUGUACAGUAAAAUAUCAUCCUAUCCAUUGUAGUUGACACAAAUGCAAAGAAACUAGUAUUGUUGAGCACAUCCCUGAUUUGCGCAGCAACACAUUUUUUAAGAUUUUGUAGUAUCUAUAAUCAUGUCUGCCAACUGGGAGUGUUUUGUAAGCUGCCGUUUGCCUGUGCAGUUCUGAUGCUGAGCUCCUCUUCCACGCUUUUGCAAGCAUGAUAUCUUGCGUCAUAUACAUUCCCUAUUGCCAAUGAGAGAUGUUGCCCGAGCUGCAUGUGCCUCUCGUGCUUUUCUGUGCUCCUGGAGAUGCCAUCCCAACCUCACUUUCAGCAGUGCAGCAUCAGGAAUGAAUAAAAAGGCAUCUGAAAAUGAUGAAAUUGCCAGAGAUUUUUCUAAAAAAGUUGACCGCAUUCUGAGAAAUCACUCGGGCAUUGGUGUGAAGAAACUUAAGAUCCACAUGAUUGAAUAUUGCAAUGCCAAGGGUUCUUGUUAUCUCGACAGUUGACUUCAGAUUGCUGUUACACCAGGAAUUGAAGAACUUGCAAUUAUGCUGCCAAUGGAGACAAAAUACAAUUUCCCAUGCUCACUUUUGUCUAAUGGGAGUGGAGACUCAAUCCGGUAUAUCCACCUUGCCGGUUGCACGUUAAUUGCGUCCAACAGCUGAACUUGCUUGGUAAAAAGUUUGACAGAUGUGCGGCUCCAUGAUGUCUGUUUUACUGGGGAUUCGUUAUGGUGCUUUCUAUGCAAUUCUUUAGCUUUGAAUCGGUUGGAAAUCAGGUAUUGUGAUGGGAUAGUUUGCUUGAAGAUCCCUUACAUGCUGCAGCGGCUCAGGUACCUAGAGGUUAUUGGUUGUGAUAUGAUGCAAGAGUUAGACAUCAAAGCUCCAAAUAUAUCCACCUUCUUCUACGGAGGAUGUUGUCGUCAACUGUCACUUGGAGAAACACUGCAAAAGGAGAACAUACACAUGAUAUUCUCAGGCGCAGUUCAUUAUGCUCAUGUGGAACUUCCGUCCAGCAUGCCAAACCUUAAAAUUGCUACUAUACGUUCGAGUGGAGAGAUGGCCAAUAUACCAAUGCUGCAUAGCAAAUUUCUCCACCUCAAGAAGCUAAGUAUUGCUCUUAGCACAAUAACCUUUUCUCCGGCCUAUGAUUAUUUUUCGCUGGUUUCAUUUCUUGAUGCUUGUCCCUUCUUGGAGAAUUUGAUCUUGGAUGUAUCAAAGACAGAGAUGGAGCAUGUCUCCAUUUUCACGGAUCCCUCGAACCUGAGGAAGAUGCAAGGACACUAGCAUCACAAGGUGAAGAGAGUGAAGAUCCUAGGAUUCACGUCUGCAAGGAGGCUGAUUGAGCUAACAUGCCAUGUUGUUGAGAGUAUAGCGUCACUUGAACGCCUUACAUUGCAGGCCCAUCAGAGUUCAUUUAUGUGUUCUGUGCCUUUUCACAAAACUGGCAAGUGCUCUUCAUUUCCCGUUGAUGUUCUCAUGGAAGCUCAACGAGCACUCUUGGCUAUCAGGACAUACAUUGAGCCUAAAGUUCCCUCCAUGGUGAACCUACGUGUUGUUGAUCCUUGUCGCCGAUGCCAUGCUCUUGAACUUUAGAAGCCAGGUUUAGCAUUAUUUCAGUUAUCGUAAGUGUCCAAUGUACAUCCACUCAAAAAAAAACUCCAUUGUGCAGUGUACUUGAUCACCUAUGUGGUUUACUUGUGUUGCUGCGUGAUUGGCUCAGACAUGAAUUUUGGCAUGGGGUUGGGUUACUAGGAUAUGUACUCACGUUAUCAAAAUAGUGGAACUUUGCUAGGCUAUUUUAAAA